GCCCGCAUAGUUCAGAGGCAGAACGCCAACUUGGUAAGUUGGAAGUCGUGAGUUCAAUUCUCACUGUGGGCU
This 72-nucleotide transfer RNA is filed under the name Synechococcus phage S-CRM01. It matches the Rfam family "tRNA". Rfam says of the family: Transfer RNA (tRNA) molecules are approximately 80 nucleotides in length. Lineage: Duplodnaviria; Heunggongvirae; Uroviricota; Caudoviricetes; Pantevenvirales; Kyanoviridae. The record is from Rfam by way of RNAcentral.